This 457-nucleotide ribosomal RNA is filed under the name uncultured bacterium. RNAcentral's name for it is "SSU rRNA". It matches the Rfam family "Bacterial small subunit ribosomal RNA", at positions 26 to 518 of the family's 1533-position model. The record is from RNAcentral.
AGAAUCAACGCUGGCGGCGUGCCUAACACAUGCAAGUCGCACGAGAAAGGGGAGCAAUCCCUGAGUACAGUGGCGCACGGGUGAGUAACACGUGAAUAAUCUACCUCCGAGUGGGGAAUAACUGAGAGAAAUCUUAGCUAAUACCGCAUAACACUUACGAGUCAAAGCAGCAAUGCGCUUGGAGAGGAGUUCGCGGCCGAUUAGUUAGUUGGCGGGGUAAUGGCCCACCAAGACGAUGAUCGGUAUCCGGCCUGAGAGGGCGCACGGACACACUGGAACUGAAACACGGUCCAGACUCCUACGGGAGGCAGCAGUGGGGAAUUUUGCGCAAUGGGGAAACCCUGACGCAGCAACGCCGCGUGGAGGAUGAAGCCCCUUGGGGUGUAAACUCCUUUCGAUCGGGAAGAUAAUGACGGUACCGAUAUAAGAAGCCCGGCUAACUCGUGCCAGCAGCCGC